RNAcentral lists this ribosomal RNA (326 nucleotides) under uncultured eukaryote. RNAcentral describes it as "partial 18S ribosomal RNA". It matches the Rfam family "Eukaryotic small subunit ribosomal RNA", at positions 1470 to 1796 of the family's 1831-position model. The record is from RNAcentral.
CCCUUAGAUGUUCUGGGCCGCACGCGCGCUACACUGAUGCAUUCAACAAGCCUAGCCUUGACCGAGAGGUCCGGGUAAUCUUUGAAACUGCAUCGUGAUGGGGCUAGAUUAUUGCAAUUAUUAAUCUUCAACGAGGAAUGCCUAGUAAGCGUGAUUCAUCAAAUCGCGUUGAUUACGUCCCUGCCCUUUGUACACACCGCCCGUCGCUCCUACCGAUUGAAUGUGUUGGUGAGGAGCUCGGAUUGGCAGCAGUUGGUGGUUCGCCACCGGCUAUUGCUGCGAAGUCCUCCAAACCGCCCCAUUUAGAGGAAGGAGAAGUCGUAACA